UACGUAGGGUGCGAGCGUUAAUCGGAAUUACUGGGCGUAAAGCGUGCGCAGGCGGCGCGUUAAGACAGAUGUGAAAGCCCCGAGCUUAACUUGGGAAUUGCGCUUGUGACUGGCGUGCUGGAGUGUGGCAGAGGGAGGUGGAAUUCCACGUGUAGCAGUGAAAUGCGUAGAGAUGUGGAGGAACACCGAUGGCGAAGGCAGCCUCCUGGGCCAGCACUGACGCUCAUGCACGAAAGCGUGGGGAGCAAACAGG
RNAcentral lists this ribosomal RNA (253 nucleotides) under uncultured bacterium. Its description in RNAcentral is "partial 16S ribosomal RNA". It matches the Rfam family "Bacterial small subunit ribosomal RNA", at positions 524 to 776 of the family's 1533-position model. The record is from RNAcentral.